ACUCUCUCUGUUUAAUAGAAAAAAAAAAGUCGUAAAAAAAAAAAAAAAAACUAUUGGCGUUUUCUCUCUGUAACAAAUAAAACGAUUCGAUCUUAGCAAUGGCUAACAUUAAUCUCCUCCGACGAAUCAUCAAGGGAACUCAACAUCUCUUUAGUGAACCAGUUCCCCACCGUCGGAGGAUAGCAUGCGGUAUUUCAAUGUGAAGAUUUUUGGCCCAACACAAUUGCCAUAAGAAGGCAACUCCAAAACUCAGUGAAGAUAAGGUGAAGCAAUGCGUUGACGCUAAAUUAAAUGGAGAUUACCCUCCUAAGGCAGUUGUAGAGGUACUGAAUAUGGGAACUUUGGCUGAAAAUAAUACAUCAAAUUCAAGGUUUCUUGGUGGAAGAGCAAAAGACUGUGAAGAAGGUUUUGAAGAUCCAAAAGUUUUGUAGACUUAUAUAUAUAUUGUAAAUUAGUAAUUUGGAUUCUUGUUUAAGCAAAUUAGUAAUGCUAAGUUGCCACUGCCGUGUGGUUGUUAUUUUCUUGCUGCCAUGUGGGUUGUUGUGGUGGUGUGUGAUGAUCUUGCUGGUGUGGGUUUUCUUUUUUUAGCCUUUUAAUGCUGCUGCUGUGAGUUCUCCAGGUGCUAAGUUGUUGCUGGCGCGUGAGUGCUCUUGUCUUUGCUGGCAUUUUGUGCUUGCGUUUGUGGUCCUGCUCAAAGAUUUGUCUUUUCUGUCAGUUGUGGUUUUUAUUUUCUCGUUUUGUUUUGUUUU
Molecule: long non-coding RNA, 749 nt
Organism: Pistacia vera
Lineage: Eukaryota; Viridiplantae; Streptophyta; Magnoliopsida; Sapindales; Anacardiaceae
Exons: 4
Source: RefSeq, a predicted model, not a curated record